Molecule: ribosomal RNA, 460 nt
Filed under: uncultured bacterium
Lineage: Bacteria
Description: partial 16S ribosomal RNA
Rfam family: Bacterial small subunit ribosomal RNA
Source: RNAcentral
CUACGGGAUGCAGCAGUAAGGAAUAUUGGUCAAUGGACGAAAGUCUGAACCAGCCAUGCCGCGUGAAGGAUUAAGGUCCUCUGGAUUGUAAACUUCUUUUAUGUGGGACGAAAAAAGGUCUUUCUAGAUCACUUGACGGUACCAUAUGAAUAAGCACCGGCUAACUCCGUGCCAGCAGCCGCGGUAAUACGGGAGGGUGCAAGCGUUAUCCGGAUUCACUGGGUUUAAAGGGUGCGUAGGCGGGCAGGUAAGUCAGUGGUGAAAUCCUGGAGCUCAACUCAAGAACUGCCAUUGAUACUAUCUGUCUUGAAUAUUGUGGAGGUAAGCGGAAUAUGUCAUGUAGCGGUGAAAUGCUUAGAUAUGACAUAGAACACCCAUUGCGAAGGCAGCUUACUACGCAUAUAUUGACGCUGAGGCACGAAAGCGUGGGGAUCAAACAGGAUUAGAUACCCGCGUAGUC